This 462-nucleotide ribosomal RNA is filed under the name uncultured delta proteobacterium. Its description in RNAcentral is "bacterial SSU rRNA". It matches the Rfam family "Bacterial small subunit ribosomal RNA", at positions 348 to 827 of the family's 1533-position model. Lineage: Bacteria; Deltaproteobacteria. The record is from RNAcentral.
GCAGCAGUGGGGAAUCUUAGACAAUGGGCGCAAGCCUGAUCUAGCCAUGCCGCGUGAGUGACGAAGGCCUUAGGGUCGUAAAGCUCUUUCGCCUGUGAUGAUAAUGACAGUAGCAGGUAAAGAAACCCCGGCUAACUCCGUGCCAGCAGCCGCGGUAAUACGGAGGGGGUUAGCGUUGUUCGGAAUUACUGGGCGUAAAGCGCACGUAGGCGGAUCAGAAAGUUGGGGGUGAAAUCCCGGGGCUCAACCCCGGAACUGCCUCCAAAACUUCUGGUCUGGAGUUCGAGAGAGGUGAGUGGAAUUCCGAGUGUAGAGGUGAAAUUCGUAGAUAUUCGGAGGAACACCAGUGGCGAAGGCGGCUCACUGGCUCGABACUGACGCUGAGGUGCGAAAGUGUGGGGAGCAAACAGGAUUAGAUACCCUGGUAGUCCACACCGUAAACGAUGAAUGCCAGUCGUCGGC